CUCAGCAGUCAAGAAUAUUAGUCAAUGCUCGAAAGAGUGAACUAGCUAACUGAAAUCAAUUAAAAAUAAUUGAUAACAUAAGGGAAAAUAAUGAUAAUACCUUAUUAUAAGUGUCGUCCAAAACUGGUGCCAGAAGACUCGGUAAGGCCAGAGACACAAACGUUAAUCGUCUUAAUCAGGCGUAAAGGGUUUGUAGGCGGCUUUAAAAUUAAUUUAAUUUUUUAAAUAAAUUAAAAAUAAAAGCUAGAAUCAAAUAGAGGAUAUAUUAAAGAAUGCUUAGAGUAGGUCUGAUAUCCUUAGAUACUAAGUAGAAUAUUAAAGGCGAAAGCUUUUUUCCAAUAAUGAUUGACGCUCAGAAACGAAGGUGAGGAUAGGAAAUAGGAUUAGAUACCCAAAAUACCCCUCUCUGUCAACGAUGAAUGGUAAUUAUUAGUAAAAUUUAUUAAUAAUAAUGUUAACACGAUAACCAUUCCGCCUUGUGAGUACAAUUGCAAAGUUGAAAACAAAAAAAUUAGUCGUUCGGAGCAACGAAGU
Molecule: ribosomal RNA, 534 nt
Filed under: Russula sp. HMAS 276793
Lineage: Eukaryota; Fungi; Basidiomycota; Agaricomycetes; Russulales; Russulaceae
Description: mitochondrial SSU rRNA
Rfam family: Bacterial small subunit ribosomal RNA
Source: RNAcentral